AGUGAACGCUGGCGGCAGGCCUAAUACAUGCAAGUCGAACGGCAGCACAGCAGAGCUUGCUCUGUGGGUGGCGAGUGGCGGACGGGUGAGGAAUACAUGGGAAUCUGCCCAGUCGUGGGGGAUAACGUAUGGAAACGUACGCUAAUACCGCAUGCGCCCUUCGGGGGAAAGCCGGGGACCUUCGGGCCUGGCGCGAUUGGAUGAGCCCAUGUCGGAUUAGCUAGUUGGCGGGGUAAAGGCCCACCAAGGCGACGAUCCGUAGCUGGUCUGAGAGGAUGAUCAGCCACACUGGGACUGAGACACGGCCCAGACUCCUACGGGAGGCAGCAGUAGGGAAUAUUGGACAAUGGGCGCAAGCCUGAUCCAGCCAUGCCGCGUGAGUGAAGAAGGCCCUCGGGUUGUAAAGCUCUUUUGUCCGGAAAGAAAAGCAUUCGGUUAAUACCCGAGUGUUCUGACGGUACCGGAAGAAUAAGCACCGGCUAAACUUCGUGCCAGCA
RNAcentral lists this ribosomal RNA (497 nucleotides) under uncultured bacterium. RNAcentral describes it as "bacterial SSU rRNA". It matches the Rfam family "Bacterial small subunit ribosomal RNA", at positions 29 to 513 of the family's 1533-position model. The record is from RNAcentral.